CCUCCUAGAGACCUGCCCUGCUGAGGACGCCCUUCCAGCCCAGGAGAGCUCGCCACUUGGGAGCCUUGGCGCCCAGCUGGCGCCCACCCCGGGGUACAUUGCAGUAAAUGCCUGGCAGUAGUGAUUUCUCGCUUCUCCCUCCGCUUCGCUCAUCGACCCUCCACUGCCAACCUUUACGCCAAACUCCGGCACGCUGAGAGACUCGCGUCCGCGCCAUCCACGCGGGGCCCCACCCCUUCCCGGCUCCAGCCCGCGUUCGGCCGGAGGCAGGCGAGGGUAGGUCGAUUUCCUGCCGGGAAUUUGCUGCUGUCUUCUCCUCUUUACUCCAAUUCUCGUGCUGGGCUGUGUGGAGCGUGGCUGCCAGCGUAGGGAAGAUCCGGAGCUCGGACACCCGCUCGCGCUCAUCGGAGUGGCUGACCCCGGAGACACGCUCGGUGGAGAGGAAGGCAGACCUGGGCCAGAGUGGAGGUGGGGGUCGCCUGCUGUUGGGGGUGGGCGCACCGGCCGCCAGCUCUCCGCAUGCUCUUCUCCUUCCAGUUCUCGCAGCCACCACCUUGCACCGGUCGGAAGACCCUCCUUCCCUUGGCUCCUUUGCGUCGGGAAGAGGGCAAAGUGAAUGGGAAGAUGGAGAUGGAUGUUGAGGGAGUUUCUCCGCGCCCGGAGCCCAUCCCCCGUCCCCAGGGGGCUGGCGGAGCCUGCCAGGCGCCGCCACAGCAGCCCCAGCCCCAGCCCCAGCCGCAGCAGCAGCAGCUGGCUCAGGAUGAACUGCCCAGCGAGAGUGCAGGCGCUGAGGACAGCGACGAUCCCAAGGCGAGACCCAACGGCGAGAAAGGAGAGAGCAAGUAUUUCGGUGACAAGAUCCACUGAGGAGAGUUGGGGCGAGGCUGGCUGAGGUUGUCAAGGAGCUGUUUUGAGCUCAGGGGCCCGCAUGGCAAUGGAAUGAUGCUUCCUGACCUUCCAGACCUUUGAGACCUCUGGGUGGUCUUAGAAAUCACCUCAAGCCUUCGGUCGAGAAUACAAGCACCUGGGGAAAUUUCCAGGGAAAGGUAGCAGAGGUAUCAUGGACCGAAAAGUGGUGCGGUACUCCAAAGAGCUCACUACCAGCUCUCAAAGAUUCCAAGCCGCCGGCUGCUCUAAAGUAGAAGGCCACCACUCUGGAGAGGCAGCAGGAAACAAGCCUGGAGGAGGCUGUGUUUUGGCCAAAGCACACACUACCUUCUCUACUGUCCUGGGGAACUGCUGAAGGACACAGAGGAAGAUGCUGCCACUCCCUGGGACAGAAACACAGCAGCUGGGACCGAGAAGCACCUCCUGCGGAACUAGGGGCAGCAGCCCUUCCGAUGAAGCUCUCUGAGCUGUCGUUCCCACUGGACUGUUUUUGCUUUGCCGUCAUCUGCAUGCCACACAGUUCUGGAUGUUUUUGAUUAGUUGGCUUUCUUUCUUAUUUUUUCCCCUUGUCUUUUCUUUUUCUUCUCUUGGCCCUGGGAAUUGUAAGAAAAGAAUUGCUUUAGAAAGUAUAAUUGUUGCUGACAUUAGCCUUGUUUAUGAGCAAAUUCUGUCCCUGGGGAUUUGCUGCUUUGUAAUCCCAGGUUACCUAGUAAAUGGGGCUGCAUGGUGUGAUUUGUGUAGUACCUAGAUUAAAAAUACAUUUUCUUUCUUGCUUUCUUUUUUUUUUUAAAGUUUGAAUUCAGGUGAUGUCCCGAAUCACAUUUGCCUCGCUACUGAAGCGAUCUCAAUGUGGUGUCGCUUGUAUGUGAAAUAUAAUCAAACCUAUAUUAUACCAGGGGCUCUUGCACACUAUUUAUAUAUAUAUAUAUGUUAUGCUACAAACAAACACAGACCUAAUAGGUUAAAAUUUAAUCCCUGCCUGAUCCUGCAGCUAGAAUGGGGGGGGGGGGGCAGGAAUUAUACACAU
Molecule: RNA transcript, 1915 nt
Organism: Artibeus jamaicensis (Jamaican fruit-eating bat)
Lineage: Eukaryota; Metazoa; Chordata; Mammalia; Chiroptera; Phyllostomidae
Gene name: cell growth regulator with EF hand domain protein 1-like
Exons: 5
Source: RefSeq, a predicted model, not a curated record